AACACAUGCAAGUCGAACGGCAGCACGGGAGCAAUCCUGGUGGCGAGUGGCGAACGGGUGAGUAAUAUAUCGGAACGUGCCCAGUAAUGGGGGAUAGCCCGGCGAAAGCCGGAUUAAUACCGCAUACGACCUAUGGGUGAAAGCGGGGGAUCGCAAGACCUCGCGUUAUUGGAGCGGCCGAUAUCAGAUUAGCUAGUUGGCGGGGUAAGAGCCCACCAAGGCGACGAUCUGUAGCUGGUCUGAGAGGACGACCAGCCACACUGGGACUGAGACACGGCCCAGACUCCUACGGGAGGCAGCAGUGGGGAAUUUUGGAGAAUGGGCGCAAGCCUGAUCCAGCCAUGCCGCGUGUGGGAAGAAGGCCUUCGGGUUGUAAACCACUUUUGUCAGGGAAGAAACGGCUCUUACUAAUAUUAGGAGCUAAUGACGGUACCUAAG
RNAcentral lists this ribosomal RNA (438 nucleotides) under grassland soil clone saf1_315. RNAcentral describes it as "bacterial SSU rRNA". It matches the Rfam family "Bacterial small subunit ribosomal RNA", at positions 50 to 483 of the family's 1533-position model. The record is from RNAcentral.